This 1236-nucleotide long non-coding RNA is filed under the name Trifolium pratense (red clover). RNAcentral describes it as "long non-coding RNA (TPRA_LNC012423)". The record is from RNAcentral. Lineage: Eukaryota; Viridiplantae; Streptophyta; Magnoliopsida; Fabales; Fabaceae.
GUUGUAAUAAUAAAUAAUUCACGAAAAAAAAUAAUGUAUAAUGAACAAAUUACUGCCUAUAUGUUUGAAUGAAGGUUCAGAUCCAGAGCCCGAUCAAUAUUAAUCAUCCAUGAAAAAUCUAGUUCCUAUUUGUUUUUUUUUUUUUGACAUAACUCCUAUUCGUUUAUUUGUACAAGAAAAACAUCAUCCUUUGCAGAAUUUUAUUGUGCAACUUUUUCUGGAUGUAUGCAAAAUGAACCUAAAUAAAAAUAGUGGCAUACAAUUUUAAAGUAAAGAAAGAAAAAGAUGGUUGGAGAAUGGCAUAAAUAAGAAUAAUAUACAGAAGGUGCAAGUCAUUUUUCUUCCAAGCGCCGCAGCACCGACUCGGCAAAGUUCUGUUGCCUACAGAUGAGUUAUAGCCAAUAAUCAACAACAUGACACAUAAGAAUUAACUAAAAAACUAACACACUAACACACAUGAGAGUAGAAUGUAAGUUUCUAACAAACAACAUUAGUUGCAUAUUGCAGCAUAAACAUUUUUAUUGAGUACGUUACUAUAGUAUUUAACCAAUCCUCUUUGUAAUAUAGGGAGAUUGAAUAUUGUUAAACACUAACAUUAUAUUUUGACAUAAACAGAAAGGUUCAAGUUAAGGGUGUACACGUGUAGGGUUGAGUCGGUUUAGGUCAAACUCAUUAUCCGAUCCAAUCAAAAUUCACCGGUUUGGAUCGAGUCAAACUCAGUUUUCUGUCAAACUAGAAUCAACCCAACACAUUGGGUUGGUUUGGGUUAUAAAACAUAAAUAUUUUGAAAAUUCCAAAAUAUUAAUCUAAUUUUGGGUCUUGCUAACGAGUGCCCCCGGGGCACUCUUUAAGCAUUCCAUUUAAAGAAACUUUUUAUUCAAAAAGUUAAACACUACAAUUUCCAAUACGUUGACUUUACGCAUUCCGAUAAAAAUUCUAUGGCUUAAUUAGUUAAAUGGUCCCUUAAAGACAUUUUAGGUUUCACAAUGGUCCCUUAAAGAAAAAAAGGUCCGGAUUGGUCCCUUAAAGAUUCACUUUUUGUCAUAUAGGUCCCCUCCGUUAAUUUUUUAACUCUAAAUGUAUUAGGUGGACCAACAUUGCAGGUAGUCCACCAUAUACCUCAAUACAUUUUUUAAUCUUAACCAUUUGAUUCUUUUGUCAAAAAAAUAACCAUUGGAUUUUGUAUGUCUACCAUAUCUAGCAAUACACCAUCAACAAAUAAUUCAUUCUCCCAUU